GCCGGAAUGGCGCAGUGGUAACGCGUCGCACUUGUACUUCAUUCGAGUCAAUGCGAAGAUCCCUAGUUCAAUUCUGGGUUUCGGCA
Molecule: non-coding RNA, 86 nt
Organism: Patellaria atrata CBS 101060
Lineage: Eukaryota; Fungi; Ascomycota; Dothideomycetes; Patellariales; Patellariaceae
Source: the annotation of a GenBank genome assembly